RNAcentral lists this unclassified non-coding RNA (316 nucleotides) under uncultured fungus. RNAcentral describes it as "partial contains 5.8S ribosomal RNA, internal transcribed spacer 2, and large subunit ribosomal RNA". The stretch from base 1 to 52 matches the Rfam family "5.8S ribosomal RNA", at positions 103 to 154 of the family's 154-position model. Lineage: Eukaryota; Fungi. The record is from RNAcentral.
AACGCACCUUGCGCUCCUUGGUAUUCCGAGGAGCAUGCCUGUAUGAGUGUCAUGAAAACCCUCAACCUUAGAUUGGUUAUUUGACCUUUCUUUGGCUUGGAUUUGGACGUUUGCCGAUGUCAAGUCGGCUCGUCUUAAAAGUAAUAGCUGGAUCUGUCUCGCGACAUGGUUUGACUUGGCGUAAUAAGUAUUUCGCUAAGGACAUCUUCGGAUGGCCCUGUUGCAGGACUAAAGACCGCUUUCUAAUCCAUUGAUCUUCGGAUUAAUAUUCAUAACAUCUGGCCUCAAAUCAGGUAGGACUACCCGCUGAACUUAA